Non-coding RNA from Picea glauca (white spruce), 116 nucleotides. Lineage: Eukaryota; Viridiplantae; Streptophyta; Pinopsida; Pinales; Pinaceae. The record is from Rfam.
AUAUUAUAUAUAAGUGUUAAAGCUCUGGAUUCUAUCAGAACUCUACAGUUAAGCACACUUGGGUUAGAGUAGUACUGGGAUGGGUGUCCUUUCGGGAAAUCCUAGUGUUCAAUAUA